Molecule: ribosomal RNA, 494 nt
Filed under: uncultured bacterium
Lineage: Bacteria
Description: partial 16S ribosomal RNA
Rfam family: Bacterial small subunit ribosomal RNA
Source: RNAcentral
GACGAACGCUGGCGGCGUGCUUAACACAUGCAAGUCGAACGGUGAAGCGCCUUCCUUUUUGGUGGGUGUGGAUGAGUGGCGAACGGGUGAGUAACACGUGAGUAACCUGCCCCCUUCUUCUGGAUAACCGCAUGAAAGUGUGGCUAAUACGGGAUAUUCUGGGUCUGUCGCAUGAUGGGUCUGGGAAAGAUAUUGUUUCGGUGGGGGAUGGGCUCGCGGCCUAUCAGCUUGUUGGUGGGGUGAUGGCCUACCAAGGCGGUGACGGGUAGCCGGCCUGAGAGGGUGGACGGUCACACUGGGACUGAGACACGGCCGAGACUCCUACGGGAGGCAGCAGUGAGGAAUAUUGCACCAUGGGCGCAAGACUGAUGCAGCGACGCCGCGUGAGGGAUGGAGGCCUUCGGGUUGUGAACCUCUUUCGCCAGUGAAGCAGGCCUGCCUCGUUUGUGAGUGGGUUGACGGUAGCUGGAUAAGAAGCGCCGGCUAACUACGUG